UUCUAAAUGAAUUGAUUUCUUCAGUUUUGC
RNAcentral lists this non-coding RNA (30 nucleotides) under Rattus norvegicus (Norway rat). Lineage: Eukaryota; Metazoa; Chordata; Mammalia; Rodentia; Muridae. The record is from RNAcentral.